Molecule: ribosomal RNA, 253 nt
Filed under: uncultured bacterium
Lineage: Bacteria
Description: partial 16S ribosomal RNA
Rfam family: Bacterial small subunit ribosomal RNA
Source: RNAcentral
UACGUAGGGGGCGAGCGUUGUCCGGAUUUAUUGGGCGUAAAGAGCGUGUAGGCGGCCAGGUAGGUCUGCUGUGAAAACUCGAGGCUUAACCUCGAGAUGUCGGCGGAAACCAUCUGGCUAGAGUCCGGAAGAGGAGAGUGGAAUUCCCGGUGUAGCGGUGAAAUGCGCAGAUAUCGGGAAGAACACCCGUGGCGAAGGCGGCUCUCUGGGACGGUACUGACGCUGAGACGCGAAAGCGUGGGGAGCAAACAGG